AACGAACGCUGGCGGCAUGCCUAACACAUGCAAGUCGAACGAGACCUUCGGGCCUAGUGGCGCACGGGUGCGUAACGCGUGGGAACCUGCCUUUAGGUUCGGAAUAACUCAGAGAAAUUUGAGCUAAUACCGGAUGAUGUCUUCGGACCAAAGAUUUAUCGCCUUUUGAUGGGCCCGUGUUGGAUUAGCUGGUUGGUGGGGUAAAGGCAUACCAAGGCGAGGAUGCAUAGCUGGUCGGAGAGGAUGAUCAGCCACACUGGGACUGAGACACGGCCCAGACUCCGACGCGAGGCAGGAGAGGAGUAUAUUGUAGAAUGAGCGAAAGCCUAAUCCAGCCAUGCCGGGUGAGUGAUGAAGGCGUUAGGGUUGUAAAUCUCUUUUACCCGAGAUGAUAAUGACAGUAUCGGGUGAAUAAGCACCGGCUAACUACGUG
RNAcentral lists this ribosomal RNA (433 nucleotides) under uncultured bacterium. Its description in RNAcentral is "partial 16S ribosomal RNA". It matches the Rfam family "Bacterial small subunit ribosomal RNA", at positions 29 to 507 of the family's 1533-position model. The record is from RNAcentral.